This 28-nucleotide non-coding RNA is filed under the name Bombyx mori (domestic silkworm). Lineage: Eukaryota; Metazoa; Arthropoda; Insecta; Lepidoptera; Bombycidae. The record is from RNAcentral.
UAGUUGGUAAGCUAUGUGGGAUCUUCUC